RNAcentral lists this ribosomal RNA (511 nucleotides) under uncultured Bacillota bacterium. RNAcentral describes it as "bacterial SSU rRNA". It matches the Rfam family "Bacterial small subunit ribosomal RNA", at positions 355 to 857 of the family's 1533-position model. Lineage: Bacteria; Bacillati; Bacillota. The record is from RNAcentral.
UAGGGAAUCUUCCGCAAUGGACGAAAGUCUGACGGAGCAACGCCGCGUGAGUGAUGAAGGCUUUCGGGUCGUAAAACUCUGUUGUUAGGGAAGAACAAGUACGAGAGUAACUGCUCGUACCUUGACGGUACCUAACCAGAAAGCCACGGCUAACUACGUGCCAGCAGCCGCGGUAAUACGUAGGUGGCAAGCGUUAUCCGGAAUUAUUGGGCGUAAAGCGCGCGCAGGCGGUUUCUUAAGUCUGAUGUGAAAGCCCACGGCUCAACCGUGGAGGGUCAUUGGAAACUGGGGAACUUGAGUGCAGAAGAGAAAAGCGGAAUUCCACGUGUAGCGGUGAAAUGCGUAGAGAUGUGGAGGAACACCAGUGGCGAAGGCGGCUUUUUGGUCUGUAACUGACGCUGAGGCGCGAAAGCGUGGGGAGCAAACAGGAUUAGAUACCCUGGUAGUCCACGCCGUAAACAAUGAGUGCUAAGUGUUAGAGGGUUUCCGCCCUUUAGUGCUGCAGCUAACG